Molecule: ribosomal RNA, 497 nt
Filed under: uncultured bacterium
Lineage: Bacteria
Description: partial 16S ribosomal RNA
Rfam family: Bacterial small subunit ribosomal RNA
Source: RNAcentral
GAUGAACGCUGGCGGCGUGCCUAAUACAUGCAAGUCGAGCGAACAGACGAGGAGCUUGCUCCCCUGACGUUAGCGGCGGACGGGUGAGUAACACGUGGAUAACCUACCUAUAAGACUGGGAUAACUUCGGGAAACCGGAGCUAAUACCGAAUAAUAUAUUGAACCGCAUGGUUCAAUAGUGAAAGACGGUUUUGCUGUCACUUAUAGAUGGAUCCGCGCCGCAUUAGCUAGUUGGUAAGGUAACGGCUUACCAAGGCAACGAUGCGUAGCCGACCUGAGAGGGUGAUCGGCCACACUGGAACUGAGACACGGUCCAGACUCCUACGGGAGGCAGCAGUAGGGAAUCUUCCGCAAUGGGCGAAAGCCUGACGGAGCAACGCCGCGUGAGUGAUGAAGGUCUUCGGAUCGUAAAACUCUGUUAUUAGGGAAGAACAAAUGUGUAAGUAACUAUGCACGUCUUGACGGUACCUAAUCAGAAAGCCACGGCUAACUACGUG